Solenopsis invicta (red fire ant) is the source of this 2072-nucleotide long non-coding RNA. RefSeq lists it as uncharacterized. The record is from RefSeq and is a predicted model, not a curated record. The transcript is spliced from 2 exons. Lineage: Eukaryota; Metazoa; Arthropoda; Insecta; Hymenoptera; Formicidae.
CUGGAGGCGAGGGGGAGGUCGACAUCUCGGUGGAGCAGGUGGCGCGAGGUGGGAGGAGGAGGAGGAGGAGGAGGAGGAUCGUGGGUGGCAGCUGAGUACGAGUAGUGAUAGGGGAAAUCAGUCGCGGUUCGAGUACCGCCGCGAAUGCACGUAAGCGACGUCUAUCGUCGCGCUGUCUGCCUUUUUCUUUCUCUUUCUUUCCCUCGAUUCUCUGCUCCGCUCUGCUUCUCUCUCGGACUUGUUAUCUCUGACAUUCAAUUCUCGGACGCUGCGUCUCUUUCCCCCCACCCCUCUUUUGUUUGCUUAUUCUCUCUCUCUCUCUCUGCUUUUCGAAUAUAUAUAUAUGUAAUCGCGUCUCUCACGUGCGCUGCCUUGAACAGCACUGUGACGAGCGAGCGAAUGUGCUGUGAGCGCAUGAACGGAAGCAAACGAGUUCUCGAAGGACCCUUGACGCGCGCGAGGCAGCGCGAGGCAGCGCGAGGCAGCGCGAGCUGACCUUUCGGGCACGAGUCAAUUUGGGAGAAAAAGUUCAGCGAUUAUGUCGAUGCCUGGUGGGGAAGCAGCUGAGAACCGAUAAGAAAACCUAGUGUAAACAGAGAAGAGUGAGGAAGGCAUCUUCGAGAGAAGGAAGGAAGGCAGAAAGAGAAGGGGAAACACGCGAUCGAGCUUGACUCCCUCGCGCCAAAUGAGAUUCACUCGUGUAGUAUUGGUCUCUCUCGCUGCAUGGGAAAACUCGUCGCGAGUAUAACUUGUCGUUCUUGCUCGCUAAGAUUUUCGAUUUUCGAUUUUCGAUUUUCAAUUUUCAAUUUUCAAUUUUCAAUUUUCAAUUUUCUUUCGCGACUCGAGUUUGAAUUCGACGCGAUUAAAUAUCAAGUGUCGGAUCCGAGUGAGAGGAAAAGGUGAGCGAGACAGUGGACAGGGGGCGCCGCCGUGGAACGCCUCGACGAGGCGCGCGACGAUAUCGGUGUCGGGGAACGGUAAAGGAAACAAAACGAAGAAGGACGUCAACGGAAUGCUCGACUUCGAACAACAGGCCAAUCAGGCACAAGCACUGGCCUCGCUCGAUGAUGACUGGCACCUGCUCGAGGAAGGACAAGCAAGGAAGCACCAAACGUGCACGAGACUACUAACGGAGGCUGAAAGGUGGGACAAAUUCUCCCCUUAGCGAGAGAUGGAGGGUAUAGAAGAAAGAAAAUAAUGCGCUUUGCAAGCGUGUAAAAUAAAAAUUAACUCCGUUGCAUGGUGGUAUUCGCGCCCAUAGGAUUGAUUAUAUGAUAUCCAUUUGACGUACAAUUGUGCAAAAUAUCGAAACGCAAACUAAAUAUCUAUUAAUAUGUGUAACGAUGAAAUUUCUCUCUGAGGAUCCUUCCCUUCUUCCUCUCCCUCUAUCGUUAAUCCUGAGUAUUUAAAAAAUCUAUUAUGUAAUCUUUCUAUUAUACAUUAUACAGAAUUCUGAACCUAGUAUUAAAAAUCAUAUAUUGGAAAUCUAAGAAAGCAUUUAUUUUAAAUUUUAAGUAAUGAGCGAUUUCACGGAAAUUUAAGCACAUUUUCAAGAAUCAUCACAAUAUUAGUAUAUAUAAUAAAUAACAUACUUUAUUUGAUUUUAUGCAAAUUUUGAAUUGAGAAUUUUAAUUUCAUGAAUAACAAUAUUUAAUAUUGAACACUAAUAAAUAUUAAAGGAAUGACUUUUUAAAUUUCCUUGAAAUCGAAGAAUUUCAAAUUGAUUUUACUAUAUAUUGAUUUCAGGAAUCAAUCUCUUUAAUUGAAAAGUAACGGUUCUAGAAACUCUGAAAUAAAUAAUCCAAUAUGAAAUGUGAAUCGCUUAAUGUUAUACAGCACGAACGAGUUUCAAAUAAAUUGUGCCGUGGAUAGCAAUUUAAUAAUAAGCGUACCGAAAUUAAUUCGGGACAUUGGUAGUAAUCCACGUAAUGAUCGGUAGAUACCUCGUGCAUUAACGAUUCGAAGAAUCGGAUAAUUACGAGAAAUGAUAUAUCUACAUGACAAAUCAUCUAUCAAGCAGAAUAUUUCGUUCAAGAUGCGAAUACGAAUAUACUAACGAGGAUGCAAAUCGU